CCCGGAGCCGCCACGGGUGAGUCGGGUCGUGGCUGCUGCCGGGUCCUGCGCGCUCUGGACUGAGGUGGCGUCCCUGGGCCGGACGGCGGUGUCCUGGCGUGGCGGGAAGCCGGCACUGGAGCGGGAGCGCACUGGGCGCGGGACCGGGAGGCGCAGGGACCGGACGGCUCCCGAGUCGCCCACCUGACAGUACCGAGAGGGCGGCGCCCCUCCGAGCAGAGCCGUCCCGGCCACUCCCCUGGGAUCUGACUUGGCUCUUGCGGUCGCGGGCACCGUGAAGCCCUGGGGUGUGCGUGGCUCCUCCUGGUAGACGCCCUUUCCCGGCGUCCGGCUUGGGGUGGUGGUGGCGUUGACUCCAGCCCCGCCUCUCCCUGGAGAGGAGGGCUCCACUCGCUCCUUCGGCCUCCUCCCCUGGGGCCGCAGCGACUCGGGCCGGCUUCCUGCUUCCCUGCCUGCCGGCGGUCCCGCUGGGUACGUUUGAGCCAAUCCUCCCCAUCUGCGCUCCUGCCCGGGGCUCCCCCAGUUCCCCUGGUGUCACCCUGUUCUGACUCCGGCUCUGCAUCCUAUCUGUUUCUCUGUUUCUUUCAAGCUAGAAGAGGUCUUCAGUUCCCAGGAGAGCCAAAGCGUGUCUGGCCCUAGGUGGGAAAAGAACUGGCUGUGACCUUUGCCCUGACCUGGAAGGGCCCAGCCUUGGGCUGAAUGGCAGCACCCACGCCCGCCCGUCCGGUGCUGACCCACCUGCUGGUGGCUCUCUUCGGCAUGGGCUCCUGGGCUGCGGUCAAUGGGAUCUGGGUGGAGCUACCUGUGGUGGUCAAAGAGCUUCCAGAGGGUUGGAGCCUCCCCUCUUACGUCUCUGUGCUUGUGGCUCUGGGGAACCUGGGUCUGCUGGUGGUGACCCUCUGGAGGAGGCUGGCCCCAGGAAAGGACGAGCAGGUCCCCAUCCGGGUGGUGCAGGUGCUGGGCAUGGUGGGCACAGCCCUGCUGGCCUCUCUGUGGCACCAUGUGGCCCCAGUGGCAGGACAGUUGCAUUCUGUGGCCUUCUUAGCACUGGCCUUUGUGCUGGCACUGGCAUGUUGUGCCUCGAAUGUCACUUUCCUGCCCUUCUU
Molecule: small RNA, 1106 nt
Filed under: Pan troglodytes (chimpanzee)
Lineage: Eukaryota; Metazoa; Chordata; Mammalia; Primates; Hominidae
Description: retained intron
Source: RNAcentral